GACGAAUUGUAUAGAAUUUUAACUUUGUACUCGUAUAUCGUGUAGUGUUCCAUUCCAUUCGAUUAAUUCCACUCCAGUGCUCUCUCUCUCUCCCCUCCAUCUUCCUGUCUCUGUCUCUGUCUCUCUCACUCCCUCCGACGUCUCUCUCUUCCUCUAGCCUUUGGAGAUAUGGAAAAUCACCAACUCGCAUAAUCGCUCCGUUUGUGCAUAGCUGUGUUGAAGAUUGGAGCAUAGCAGGCGUCCAAUUGAGAAAACUUGUGCAAGAUCCAUUGAAAGAACUGCUUUCGAACAACCAUUAACAAGUGGUGUGGCAUAUGCUGUGAAAGUGCUCCAUUCUGAAAGAGAAUAAUUUGAGAAGCAGCAUGGCUGGACUAUUAAGAGGAUGGAUACUGUUGAACAAGAACCUGUUCAUAAGUAUGAUUAUGCUCUGGAAAAGCUGGAGCCUUCUCUAGUUCAAGACGAAAAUGCCCAUGAUAUUUGCACAAGAUACCAUUUCUCAUGUUGUUUCUGUCGAUGUGCUUUCUAGGAAGCCUAGCUCUAAAGUCCAUGUACAUUUGAAGGGAGCCAUCGAUGACUCGAUGAGCAUAAGGUGAAGGGGCUGCUAAAAUUGGAAGGGGGUUGCUGGUGAGCACAAGGUGAAAGGGGCUGUUGAAAUGGGAAAGGGGAAGGGUUUGGAGGAGAUGAAUUUUAGAAGUAUAAAUCUAUGUAAUCUAAAUAUUACAAAUUAGAUAUUACAUGUAUAAAUGUUAAUUAAAUUACAAGGAUGAAUUGUGUUUUUGUU
Molecule: long non-coding RNA, 781 nt
Organism: Chenopodium quinoa (quinoa)
Lineage: Eukaryota; Viridiplantae; Streptophyta; Magnoliopsida; Caryophyllales; Amaranthaceae
Exons: 3
Source: RefSeq, a predicted model, not a curated record